This 677-nucleotide ribosomal RNA is filed under the name Citrobacter amalonaticus. Its description in RNAcentral is "partial 23S ribosomal RNA". It matches the Rfam family "Bacterial large subunit ribosomal RNA", at positions 2251 to 2925 of the family's 2925-position model. Lineage: Bacteria; Pseudomonadati; Pseudomonadota; Gammaproteobacteria; Enterobacterales; Enterobacteriaceae. The record is from RNAcentral.
ACAGUGUCUGGUGGGUAGUUUGACUGGGGCGGUCUCCUCCUAAAGAGUAACGGAGGAGCACGAAGGUUAGCUAAUCCUGGUCGGACAUCAGGAGGUUAGUGCAAAGGCAUAAGCUAGCUUGACUGCGAGCGUGACGGCGCGAGCAGGUGCGAAAGCAGGUCUUAGUGAUCCGGUGGUUCUGAAUGGAAGGGCCAUCGCUCAACGGAUAAAAGGUACUCCGGGGAUAACAGGCUGAUACCGCCCAAGAGUUCAUAUCGACGGCGGUGUUUGGCACCUCGAUGUCGGCUCAUCACAUCCUGGGGCUGAAGUAGGUCCCAAGGGUAUGGCUGUUCGCCAUUUAAAGUGGUACGCGAGCUGGGUUUAGAACGUCGUGAGACAGUUCGGUCCCUAUCUGCCGUGGGCGCUGGAGAAUUGAGGGGGGCUGCUCCUAGUACGAGAGGACCGGAGUGGACGCAUCACUGGUGUUCGGGUUGUCAUGCCAAUGGCACUGCCCGGUAGCUAAAUGCGGAAGAGAUAAGUGCUGAAAGCAUCUAAGCACGAAACUUGCCCCGAGAUGAGUUCUCCCUGACCCUUUAAGGGUCCUGAAGGAACGUUGAAGACGACGACGUUGAUAGGCCGGGUGUGUAAGCGCAGCGAUGCGUUGAGCUAACCGGUACUAAUGAACCGUGAGGCUUAAC